RNAcentral lists this ribosomal RNA (253 nucleotides) under uncultured bacterium. RNAcentral describes it as "partial 16S ribosomal RNA". It matches the Rfam family "Bacterial small subunit ribosomal RNA", at positions 524 to 776 of the family's 1533-position model. The record is from RNAcentral.
GACGUAGGGCGCGAGCGUUGUCCGGAUUUAUUGGGCGUAAAGAGCUCGUAGGCGGCUUGUCGCGUCGGCUGUGAAAUCCCGUGGCUCAACUGCGGGUCUGCAGCCGAUACGGGCAGGCUAGAGUUCGGUAGGGGAGACUGGAAUUCCUGGUGUAGCGGUGAAAUGCGCAGAUAUCAGGAGGAACACCGGUGGCGAAGGCAGGUCUCUGGGCUGACACUGACGCUCAUGCACGAAAGCGUGGGGAGCAAACAGG